UUCCUGUACCACCUAUAAUCGUUUUAAUCGAUGGGGGGACGCAGUAGGAUAGGCGAAGCGUGCGAUUGGAUUGCACGUCUAAGCAGUAAGGCUGAGUAUUAGGCAAAUCCGGUACUCAUUAAGGCUGAGCUGUGAUGGGGAGAAGACAUUGUGUCUUCGAGUCGUUGAUUUCACACUGCCGAGAAAAGCCUCUAGAUAGAAAAUAGGUGCCCGUACCGCAAACCGACACAGGUAGUCAAGAUGAGAAUUCUAAGGUGAGCGAGCGAACUCUCGUUAAGGAACUCGGCAAAAUGACCCCGUAACUUCGGGAGAAGGGGUGCUCUUUAGGGUUAACGCCCAGAAGAGCCGCAGUGAAUAGGCCCAAGCGACUGUUUAUCAAAAACACAGGUCUCUGCUAAACCGUAAGGUGAUGUAUAGGGGCUGACGCCUGCCCGGUGCUGGAAGGUUAAGAGGAGUGGUUAGCUUCUGC
Molecule: ribosomal RNA, 469 nt
Filed under: Staphylococcus aureus
Lineage: Bacteria; Bacillati; Bacillota; Bacilli; Caryophanales; Staphylococcaceae
Description: partial 23S ribosomal RNA
Rfam family: Bacterial large subunit ribosomal RNA
Source: RNAcentral